GUCAAAUAGUUAAUAAAAACUAUUUAAUACUACUUGAAUUGCUGGAAAACCCUAAAGCUAGUAUAACUACAACAUAGUACCUGAAUAAAUAUGGUACAGAUGUGAAAGUGGCGAAAGCAGAAAAAAUAUACUAGAUGACAUAAGGUUAAAUCCUAAGUGUUAAGCCAGUAAUAUCCCAAAUCAAAGAUUUGGGAAAGGCUAAAAAUGGGCAAUCAGCCGCCAAGACCGAAAGGUAAGGUUCAACGACUAUUCCUUAAUAGGAAGUACACCAAAGCUGGUGGAAGUGAGUAGACCCAAACAGUAAGGCUGUGGGAUAAGAUAUAGUCUGUGCUUGUUAGAAAUAACAAG
Molecule: non-coding RNA, 348 nt
Filed under: Fusobacterium periodonticum ATCC 33693
Lineage: Bacteria; Fusobacteriati; Fusobacteriota; Fusobacteriia; Fusobacteriales; Fusobacteriaceae
Source: RNAcentral